AGGUGAUUUCGAUGUCUAUACAAAUAAUUAACAACUACUUACUCAUUAAAUAUUUUAAUACAAAUUAAUCCAGCAGGUUAUUAUGCUUGAAAAGAAACCAAGCCCAUCUUAUAAACGUUGGCUUGGCACGACUGCAAAGACCAUCUUCGUCGCUGAGGUUGUGGGCUUUGCGUUUUCCUAUGGAAUUUGGUACAAAUUAAACACUGAACGGGAUUUCAGAUUGUACAUGCACAAAAACUUAAAUUGGGUGUUGGAAGGUUAUUACCGGUUAGGUGAGGUGAUCGCUGACCACAAAACUCGCGAACUCGACAAAAAAAUUUGGACUCAGGAAGGAAAAAUAUAAUAUCCUGGUGAGAUGAGCAUUAUCGCUAGGUCCUUGUUCUGGGUGGUAUCUAUCGGAACAGUUAGCUAUGGCCUACUUACAUUCGUCAAACCUGACGAUGAUCUGCUCAAAAAGUUUGAGGAAGAAUCGAAAUUCACUGAUGCCAGUAGAGUAACAAAAGAUACAAUUGCAAUACUUAAGGAAGCAACCAAUCCAAAUUCUGAGGUAAACAAAAAAGUAGAGGAGCUUUUGAAGAGGGCAAA
This is an RNA transcript of Aricia agestis (brown argus), 585 nucleotides long. It is a transcript of the gene named protein CEBPZOS, with no coding region annotated. NCBI's taxonomy places the organism in Eukaryota, Metazoa, Arthropoda, Insecta, Lepidoptera, Lycaenidae. The transcript has 3 exons. The record is from RefSeq and is a predicted model, not a curated record.